RNAcentral lists this ribosomal RNA (253 nucleotides) under uncultured bacterium. Its description in RNAcentral is "partial 16S ribosomal RNA". It matches the Rfam family "Bacterial small subunit ribosomal RNA", at positions 524 to 776 of the family's 1533-position model. The record is from RNAcentral.
UACGGGGGGGGCAAGCGUUGUUCGGAAUUACUGGACGUAAAGGGCGCGUAGGCGGCCUGCUAAGUCGGAUGUGAAAUCCCUCGGCUCAACCGAGGAACUGCAUCCGAUACUGGCGGGCUUGAAUCCGGGAGAGGGAUGUGGAAUUCCAGGUGUAGCGGUGAAAUGCGUAGAUAUCUGGAGGAACACCGGUGGCGAAGGCGGCAUCCUGGACCGGUAUUGACGCUGAGGCGCGAAAGCUAGGGGAGCAAACGGG